UACGUAGGGGGCAAGCGUUGUCCGGAAUCACUGGGCGUAAAGCGCGCGCAGGCGGUCAUCUACGUCUGGGGUGAAAGCCCGGAGCUCAACUCCGGGAUUGCCUUGGAUACGGGAUGACUUGAGGAUCGGAGAGGCAAGGGGAAUUCCACGUGUAGCGGUGAAAUGCGUAGAGAUGUGGAGGAACACCGAUGGCGAAGGCAGCCCCCUGGGCUAACACUGACGCUCAUGCACGAAAGCGUGGGGAGCAAACAGG
Molecule: ribosomal RNA, 253 nt
Filed under: uncultured bacterium
Lineage: Bacteria
Description: partial 16S ribosomal RNA
Rfam family: Bacterial small subunit ribosomal RNA
Source: RNAcentral